Molecule: RNA transcript, 1386 nt
Organism: Lactuca sativa (garden lettuce)
Lineage: Eukaryota; Viridiplantae; Streptophyta; Magnoliopsida; Asterales; Asteraceae
Source: RefSeq, a predicted model, not a curated record
CAUAAACAUUUUCUAAACAAUAAACUAAAACCAUAAGUUUCGAUCAAUAUGUAUGUAACUCGAUCUCUUUCUCACUAUAAGAGAUUUCCUGAAGCUCUUCAUUUGCCUCCCGAGGGUCCAAACUCGGGCUACUUGGUAAUCCAAGACGAAGAGUCUGAAACUUACUCAUUCUUUGGGUUGCACAAGAAUAAGUCUCUUAAAGAGUUGCCUUUUCCUCAAAACAAAAGACUGACCACACGUUAUUCAUCAGGGGCGGGUGAAAAUGCAAGUGCUUCUUUGAUGAAGUUGUUUUUAUUCCAGUUCUUAAUCAACCCUUAUCUUCAAAUCGUUACUAUGCCAUAAAACCAAAAGGUUCGCAUAAAGGGGAAGCGUUUGCAUGUUCAAAGGAGGAAGACAUGGCGCCUUGUUGUUGUGGUGGUUCUCUCAAUGAUGUUAAACCAAGGCCAUUGAAUCCACAUGAUGUAUACCAACAGUUUGAGAUCAUUCCUUACAAAGCAUUUUUAAGUGGUGAUGGAAGAUUUUAUGCCAAAUCUCUCAUGGAAGAUGGUGAUCCUCCGUAUUUCUUAAAGAGAAAAGGUUGGGAGAUCUAUACUAAAACACCUAAAAACUACACGUUACAUGAAGCAAAUGGAAUCAAUGAUGCCCUUCGUUCACGUCUCCCUGAAUUUAGUUUCCUACCUUUAACCAAAACUUCGAGUUCAGUGGUUGUUGGCAAGUGGUAUUGUCCAUUCAUGUUCAUCAAAGAAGGAAGACAGAUCGACCAGGUGAAAACCUCUAUGUAUUAUGAAAUGACACUGGAACAAAGAUGGGAACGAGUUUUUGAACAAGAAAACGAGGACAAUACCAAAGGAGAUGUUGUGUUUGUUGAUGCUGUAUUUAAUAGUGAAGCAGUUUUUGUUGGUGAGAGUUUGAGGGAGGCUGAGAGAAAUGUGGUAAAUGGAGUUGUGUGGUUUUUCUGUCGAGGGGGUGAUGAUGAGAAAGAAGAAAGUGUAGGGUUGAGAAGAGAAAUUGUUGAAAGAAUGAGGUGGGAAGAAGAAAAAGUUGGAUGGGUAGAUGGUGGAGAGAACAGGAUACAUAUGGUUACGAGAGAAGAGAAGUUUGAAGGAAGUGGUGGAUGGAAGAGAUUUGGUUGUUAUGUUUUGGUUGAAAGAUUUGUGCUCAAAAGAAUGGAUGGGAGUUUACUUUUGGCCUAUGAAUUUGGUCACAGCCAUCAAAUUAGAACCAUUUUCGAAUAAUUUAUAUGUUUAUUUUUUAUAUUUGUAUCAAAUGAUAGCAUAUUAGUAUUGUGUAUUUUUGGAUUCAGUGCUUAUAUGUCAAAUAGUUUUAGAAAUAUUGUUUUGUCGUGUAUUCUUUAAUGGAAUGAAUAAAAAUUAAAUUAUUAUUUCC